This 429-nucleotide ribosomal RNA is filed under the name Chloroflexota bacterium. RNAcentral describes it as "Chloroflexi bacterium partial 16S ribosomal RNA". It matches the Rfam family "Bacterial small subunit ribosomal RNA", at positions 355 to 776 of the family's 1533-position model. The record is from RNAcentral. Lineage: Bacteria; Bacillati; Chloroflexota.
UGGGGAAUAUUGCACAAUGGGCGCAAGCCUGAUGCAGCCAUGCCGCGUGUAUGAAGAAGGCCUUCGGGUUGUAAAGUACUUUCAGCGGGGAGGAAGGGAGUAAAGUUAAUACCUUUGCUCAUUGACGUUACCCGCAGAAGAAGCACCGGCUAACUCCGUGCCAGCAGCCGCGGUAAUACGGAGGGUGCAAGCGUUAAUCGGAAUUACUGAGCGUAAAGCGCACGCAGGCGGUUUGUUAAGUCAGAUGUGAAAUCCCCGGGCUCAACCUGGGAACUGCAUCUGAUACUGGCAAGCUUGAGUCUCGUAGAGGGGGGUAGAAUUCCAGGUGUAGCGGUGAAAUGCGUAGAGAUCUGGAGGAAUACCGGUGGCGAAGGCGGCCCCCUGGACGAAGACUGACGCUCAGGUGCGAAAGCGUGGGGAGCAAACAGG